This is a long non-coding RNA of Saccostrea cuccullata (small rock oyster), 3302 nucleotides long. RefSeq lists it as uncharacterized. NCBI's taxonomy places the organism in Eukaryota, Metazoa, Mollusca, Bivalvia, Ostreida, Ostreidae. The transcript has 2 exons. The record is from RefSeq and is a predicted model, not a curated record.
UUUCUAAAUGCAGAUGUAGCAAAGAAAGCUGGUUUUAUUACUCCAGUGCCUGGAGGAGUUGGACCAAUGACUGUUGCAAUGCUGACCAAAAAUACCCUUAUGGCAUACAAAAAGGAAUUUAAAUUUGAAUAAGGAAUUUGUACUGUGGACCUUGUCAUCCAGAAUGCAAAGACACAGUCAGGUGUUCCAUACCAUUGUGCCAAUCUGAGAACAAAAUUGUGCCAAUCUGAGAACAAAGUGCAGCUUUUGAACAACUUAUUUAUUUAGCUCACCUGAGCCGAAGGCUCAAGUGAGCUUUUCUGAUCACAUUUUGUCCGUCGUCUGUCCGUCUGUAAACUUUUCACAUUUUCGACUUCUUCUCAAGAACCAAUGGGCCAAUUUACCAAACUUGGUACAAAGCAUCCUUGGGUGAAGGGGGGUUUAAAUUGUUAAAAUGAAGGGCCAAGUCCCCUUACAAAGGGAGAUAAUCAAGAAAAGACAAAAAUAGGGUGGGGUCACUAAAAAAUCUCCUUCUCAAGAACCACUGGGCCAGGAAAGCUGAAACUUAUGUGGAAGCAUCUUUGGGUAGUGUAGAUAUUAAAUUGUUAAAAUCAUGACCCCCAGGGGUAGGGCGGGGCCACAAUAGAGAAUCCAAGUUUGCAUAGAAAUAUAUAGAACAAAUCUUUAAAAAUCUUCAUCUCAAGAACCACUGGGCCAGGAAAGCUGAAACUUAUGUGGGAGCAUCCUUGGGUAGUGUAGAUAUUAAAUUUUUAAAAUCAUGACCCCCGGGGGUAGGGCGGGGCCACAAUAGAGAAUCCGAAUUUUACAUAGAAAUAUAUAUAGAACAAAUCUUUAAAAAGCUUCUUCUCAAGAACCACUGGGCCAGGAAAGCUGAAACUUAUGUGGAAGCAUCCUUCGGUAGUGUAGAUAUUAAAUUGUUAAAAUCAUGACCCCCGGGGGUAGGGCGGGGCCACAAUAGGGAAUCCAAGUUUUACAUAGAAAUAUAUAGAACAAAUCUUUAAAAAUCUUCUUCUCAAGAACCACUGGGCCAGGAAAGCUGAAACUUACGUGGAAGCAUUCUUUGGUAAUGUAGAUAUUAAAUUUUCAAAAUCAUGACCCCCUAGGGUAGGGUGGGGCCACAAUAGGGAAUCCAAGUUUUACAUAGAAAUAUAUAGAACAAAUCUUUAAAAGUCUUCUUCUCAAGAACCACUGGGCCAGGAAAGCUGAAACUUAUGUGGAAGCAUCCUUGGGUAGUGUAGAUAUUAAAUUGUAAAAAUCAUGACCCCCGGGGGUAGGGCGGGGCCACAAUAGGGAAUCCAAGUUUUACAUAGAAAUAUAUAGAACAAAUCUUAAAAAAUCUUCUUCUUAGAAACCACUGGGCCAGGGAAGCUGAAACUUAUUUGGAAGCAUCCUUGGGUAGUGUAGAUAUUAAAUUGUUAAAAUCAUGACCCCCGGGGGUAGGACGGGGCCACAAUAGGGAAUCCAAGUUUUACAUAGAAAAAUAUAGAACAAAUCUUUAAAAAUCUUCUUCUCAAGAACCACUGGGCCAGGAAAGCUGAAACUUAUGUGGAAGCAUCCUUGGGUAGUGUAGAUAUUAAAUUGUUAAAAUCAUGACCCCUGGGGGUAGGGCGGGGCCACAAUAGGGAAUCCAAGUUUUACAUAGAAAUAUAUAGAACAAAUCUUUAAAAAUCUUCUUCUUAGAAGCCACUGGGCCAGGGAAGCAGAAACUUAUGUGGGAGCAUUCUUGGGUAGUGUAGAUAUUAAAUUGUUAAAAGCAUGACCCCCGGGGGUAGGGUGGGGCCACAAUAGGGAAUCCAAGUUUUACAUAGAAAUAUAUAGAACAGAUCUUUAAAAAUCUUCUCAAGAACCACUUGGCCAGAAAAGCUGAAACUUAUGUGGAAGCCUCCUUGGGUAGUGAAAAUAUUAAAUUGUUAAAAUCAUGACCCCUGGGGGUAGGGCGGGCCACAAUAGAGAAUCCAAGUUUUACAUAGAAAUAUAUGUAGAACAAAUCUUUAAAAAUCUUCUUCUCAAGAACCACUGGACCAGGAAAGCUGAAACUUAUAUGGAAGCAUCCUUUGGUAGUGUAGAUAUUAAAUUGUUAAAAUCAUGACCCCCGGGGGUAGGCGGGGCCACAAAAGGGAAUUCCAAGUUUUACAUAGAAAAAUAUAGAACAAAUCUUUAAAAAAUCUUCUUCUCAAGAACCACUGGGCCAGGAAAGCAGAAACUUAUGUGGAAGCAUCCUUGGGUAGUGUAGAUUCUAAAGUUUUAAAAUAAAAAAGGGAAGGGGGUUGUUGGGCAUGAUAGGUAUAGCAAGAGGGGGAAUCUGGUAAAGAUCUGCAUCACCUAAGUUACUCAGGUGAGCGAUGUGGCCCAUGGGCCUCUUGUUUUAUUUUUUAAACUAAUAUAUAUAUAAAAUAUACCAUAUAAGAAGAAUUUUUAGCGAAUUGCCUACUUACAUUACUAAUUUCUUCCACACAAAGAGGCGUGGCAAGGUAUUCAGACUAUUCUUUAAAUUUAUUUCCAAAUUUAUUGUCAUAUCACUAAAACUUCUCACUUAAAUUAUUAUUUUUAAUAUUGAAUGACAGAAUUGGCAUCUCACAUAAAAUUCGACUUGUGUGGUAUUUACAUAUAGUGUUGUCAAUGAGUACCUAGUAAACUGGUUAAUUGUUGAAAGAUGUGAGUGUCGGUUAGUAAAACUGCUAUUCGUGUACUUGUACAUAUAAUAUUUAAAUUUUGACAAGUUAAAAUUAGUAGGUAAAAAUGUAAUUUUAUUCAUAUGCCUUACCGACGACACAACCUACUCAAGUAUUUAAAAAGAAAACACCUGUUUCUAUUUAUAGAUUAGGGAUGGGUCAAUUACAUAGGAAAGUAAUUAAUUAAAUUACAAUUAUUUUCCCAAAACCUUCAAUUAAAUUACCAUUACUAUUACAUGGAUUUUGAAAUGUAAUUAAUUAAAAUAAAAUUACUUUGCAAAUGUAAUUAAUUAAAUUACACAUUACAUUCAAGAAAACACGUAUAAAUUAUAAAGGAAAUAGUCAUGUACAUUCCUAAUCCUUUACAUUUAUAUCAGAUUAUUUUACAGCAUAUUUUUACAAUAAUAUUUUUAAAAUGUUCAUACAAUUUUCAAUUACUGUGUCUCCUAACCUACAUCUUUUAGAUUUGAAGAUUUUCCUGCCAUACUGAAGAUUCUGUUCACUGGAGUAUUUGUGACAGGAAUACAUAGAUACUGACUAGUAGAAAGUUUACUCAUGGUUCUACCUUAAUUUAUAUGUUAAAAAUUUGGAAUCAUGAAACAUUCGAUUAAAUUCAUGUUGAAAGUAUAA